RNAcentral lists this ribosomal RNA (522 nucleotides) under uncultured Comamonas sp. Its description in RNAcentral is "bacterial SSU rRNA". It matches the Rfam family "Bacterial small subunit ribosomal RNA", at positions 9 to 526 of the family's 1533-position model. The record is from RNAcentral. Lineage: Bacteria; Pseudomonadati; Pseudomonadota; Betaproteobacteria; Burkholderiales; Comamonadaceae.
GAGUUUGAUCAUGGCUCAGAUUGAACGCUGGCGGCAUGCUUUACACAUGCAAGUCGAACGGCAGCACGGACUUCGGUCUGGUGGCGAGUGGCGUACGGGUGAGUAAUACAUCGGAACGUGCCCAGUUGUGGGGGAUAACUACUCGAAAGAGUAGCUAAUACCGCAUGAGAACUGAGGUUGAAAGCAGGGGAUCGUAAGACCUUGCGCAACUGGAGCGGCCGAUGGCAGAUUAGGUAGUUGGUGGGAUAAAAGCUUACCAAGCCGACGAUCUGUAGCUGGUCUGAGAGGACGACCAGCCACACUGGGACUGAGACACGGCCCAGACUCCUACGGGAGGCAGCAGUGGGGAAUUUUGGACAAUGGGCGAAAGCCUGAUCCAGCAAUGCCGCGUGCAGGAUGAAGGCCUUCGGGUUGUAAACUGCUUUUGUACGGAACGAAAAGCUUCGGGUUAAUACCCUGGAGUCAUGACGGUACCGUAAGAAUAAGCACCGGCCAACUACGUGCCAGCAGCCGCGGUAAUAC